CAAUAGCGUAUAUUAAAGUUGUUGCAGUUAAAAAGCUCGUAGUUGGAUUUCGGGGUGGCCUGCCUGGUCCACCGCAAGGUGAGUACUGGUCAGCCGCCCUUCCUCUCGAAAGCCCCGACUGCUCUUCAUUGCAGUGGUCGGGUAGUUCGGGACGUUUACUUUGAAAAAAUUAGAGUGUUCAAGGCAGGCCGUCGCCUGAAUACAUUAGCAUGGAAUAAUGGAAGAGGACCUCGGUCCUAUUUUGUUGGUUUCUAGGGCCGAAGUAAUGAUUAAGAGGGACAGUUGGGGGCAUUCGUAUUUAAUUGUCAGAGGUGAAAUUCUUGGAUUUGUGAAAGACGAACCAGUGCGAAAGCAUUUGCCAAGGAUGUUUUCAUUAA
RNAcentral lists this ribosomal RNA (377 nucleotides) under uncultured eukaryote. RNAcentral describes it as "partial 18S ribosomal RNA". It matches the Rfam family "Eukaryotic small subunit ribosomal RNA", at positions 592 to 976 of the family's 1831-position model. The record is from RNAcentral.